AAGGUCGUAACAAGGUUUCCCGUAGGUGAACCCUGCGGAAGGAUCAUUACAAAGUAAAUGCUGGUAGGAAGUGGGGUUCUUGAUCUGUAAGUGGUAGAGCGAAGCAGUCCGGCUGCCUCCCGAAACUGUCUUACAUGUCCCCCACAGCCUGCAAUGGCCAGGAAUUAAUCAACCCACUUGAUUAUCUACACUUGUUGCUUUGGGGAUGCUCAAGUCCCCAGAGGACCCAACUCUCUUGCAUUUUCAGUGACGUCUGAGUACUAUAUAAUAUUUUGAAAAG
RNAcentral lists this unclassified non-coding RNA (280 nucleotides) under plant metagenome. RNAcentral describes it as "partial contains small subunit ribosomal RNA and internal transcribed spacer 1". The record is from RNAcentral.